This 276-nucleotide long non-coding RNA is filed under the name Homo sapiens (human). Its description in RNAcentral is "HSALNT0190440". Lineage: Eukaryota; Metazoa; Chordata; Mammalia; Primates; Hominidae. The record is from RNAcentral.
GAGACCACAGUUCCCAGCCUCUUUUGCAAUUAGGUUGGAACCAUGAGAUCAUUCUGGCCACUAGAAUGUGGAAAUAAUUUAUGUAUGCUGCUGUGGAUCAGGCCCCUAAAAUUUCUCUUGAACGCCUUGGCUCUCUUUCCUGCCUUCACAAUGUCCACCCAUCUAAGGAUGAAUUUGGAAGUGUAAGAUUCCAAGGAACUCCUUGAUGGAAGAAACAUGGACCUCAGAGUCACUGCUUGGGGGAAAGCUGCUCAACUUGCAUUAGACUUUGCAUGA